Anastrepha ludens (Mexican fruit fly) is the source of this 886-nucleotide long non-coding RNA. RefSeq lists it as uncharacterized. Lineage: Eukaryota; Metazoa; Arthropoda; Insecta; Diptera; Tephritidae. The record is from RefSeq and is a predicted model, not a curated record. The transcript has 3 exons.
CUUGAGCAGAGCUGCUCUUUGGCGUAUACGACACGACAUGUAUUUAUUAUAUUUUAGUUCGAUGAGGAUGGAGUUGGACACAACAAUUUGCGAGCACUUUGCGAUCAGUGCUGUCACUAAAAAACCAUUUUGCUGAUUUUGACCAAAACUUGGUGAAUGCUGAUAGAGUGACAAUCCUUGACCGGAGCAUUGCGGCGAACGUAGAACUCCCUGUUAUGUUGUUUGUUUUUAUUCUAGCAGUUCACGGUUCAGCGGAUGAACUUUGAUUCCUCUGAUCCUCAACUAAGCGGUCGCCUCUCGGCAGACAAUGACAAGUGUCCGAGUGUAUUUCUGCUAUGGAAAAGCUCCUCAUAAAAAACCAUUUCUCGUUCAAAGUAGGCUUAAAACUGUAGGUCCGUUCAUUUGUGGAACAUCAUCAAGACGCACGCGACAAAUAGGAGGCGGCCAAACACCUAACAGAAAUGUAUGUAUGCGCCAAUUAUUUAUGUAUUUACUUUUUUAUAAGUUGUCUUUAUCUUUGAAAACUGUCGAAAUACAUUUCACCUUAUGGGACAUCGAGAAGAAUUUCAAUAAUACCCUUGAUUACAGGGUUAAUGAUGACUUGAUCAUUUGAGACGAGGGCCUCUAUUCUUUGUGCAAAGUGGUAUGCCGAGAGGAGUAAGUCCCCAGUAACCAGUUUUCUAGCCUGACUCCAAACUCUCCACCACAAUGGGCAAAUUGCUGGCAAUUUCGAGCUGCGGCAACAUAAAACUCGUCAAAGAUGAAUCUCCAAGGACUUGUGAUGAUCACCGCAAAUGACUUCUGGAGAAACGGGCUGCAUACAAACAGCGAUAACUUUUAUAAUUAUUAAUUUUUUUUUGUUGAAAUCUUGCUAACGUCAAUUCGA